Molecule: long non-coding RNA, 1375 nt
Filed under: Bos grunniens (domestic yak)
Lineage: Eukaryota; Metazoa; Chordata; Mammalia; Artiodactyla; Bovidae
Description: lncRNA (ENSBGRG00000007733.1)
Source: RNAcentral
UCGGGUUAGACUUUUGUUUACUUGACCUAGAACUUCUCUGCUUACACAGAUGAAGUAAGAAUCCAACAGGCUUCCUAUCCGUCUCACUCCCAGGAAGACCAAGGCCAUGGUCUGAGCCAGGUGGCCUGCUUCCUUGCUGUCCACCGUGGUGACCAUACCCCUCUCGCCCUGGAGCCAACCACCCCAGGAGCCAGUCACUCCCAUGGCACUCCGUUUUCCAGACUGAGUGGCCGUGGCUCCCACUAUAAGUUCUGGCCCACAGAGGAGUGAUUGGAGCCCUUCAGGGGUGCCAGGGCUCCCCUCUCAGGUUUAUUCCUCACCGCUGUGGGAAGAGCUGUGUCUCUGGAUCCUCCCACGUGGGUGAGCAGGUCUCAAAUGAUGGGCCAUCUCCCAGCCUCUGAACCCCUCCUGCAGGAAACAGGCAAGUCCUGCAUUUCCAAUUCAUUCACAGCCAAACAGCCCACUAGAGCCCUUCCUGCCCCGGCACCACGACCUCCGCUGCAGCCUCCACUCAGUGGGGCCCGUGGCCGACAACUUGAUCUUCCCCCCACUGUAUCCCAUACUCUCCUCUGUCCAGGGCUGCUGCUCCCAUAAAUCAGAAGACUCAAGCCCCUCUCUGGGAGCAUAGCCCUCCUCCUCCUCGUGGGUCACACCUCCCUCUUACUCACCUUCGGUAGCCUCAGGGGAGGCCGACACUGGUCACCCAGGCAGUGUGGGGUUGACCUCUUCAGAAGUGGGGGGAGAGGCUGACAUCGGGGGUGCUGCUCUGGGAGAAAGAGGCCCACCUGCGGGGCUGGGUGCUGAGUGCCCCACCCACAUCUUCUCAUUAACUUGGGACAAACUAUCACCCUGGCCUGCCUCCCAGCUCCUGUCCUGUGUUUUCUUGAAUAGGUUUCCUCUGCCUUCUCUAAGGACUGGACACAUCCACUAUGACUUCAGAGGCCAGAAGAACGAGUCUGUAAUGAAAACAGCUCACUACCUGGAAGGGGAUGCCACACCUGGUUACUUGAAGGCCAGAGUGCCCCUGGUCACUGUCUCUAUGCCACACGCCUGGAUUCCUGGGCCUAGAGACAUAAGACAGGCCACCACCAGCAAGAGUGUCCAGCUAUCAACAGGUGUGGCUGGGAAUUCAUAUGUGCCACACCCCAGGGCUACCUGCCCCACUGGUGCAUCCCAGCACAGGGCUGCUGGCUGGGGGAGGGGCAGAGAAAGACUCUGUCCCUCAUACUGGAUGUUUUGGGGACAAAGGAGAAAACGGGGACUCGGACCUCUCCUCAGAGGGAUCUCAUCUCCCUGUGAGCUCCUCACCUGCUAUCGGAACCACAGUGGUGUCGGCACCAUCCAGGGAGCAAGCGACUCUUCUUCCAGAAUUUAA